CACAACACCAGUUUGGCC
This 18-nucleotide ribosomal RNA is filed under the name Scolecobasidium gamsii. Its description in RNAcentral is "Ochroconis gamsii partial 26S ribosomal RNA". The record is from RNAcentral. Lineage: Eukaryota; Fungi; Ascomycota; Dothideomycetes; Venturiales; Sympoventuriaceae.